RNAcentral lists this ribosomal RNA (746 nucleotides) under uncultured Parvimonas sp. Its description in RNAcentral is "bacterial SSU rRNA". It matches the Rfam family "Bacterial small subunit ribosomal RNA", at positions 28 to 776 of the family's 1533-position model. The record is from RNAcentral. Lineage: Bacteria; Bacillati; Bacillota; Tissierellia; Tissierellales; Peptoniphilaceae.
GACGAACGCUGGCGGCGUGCUUAACACAUGCAAGUCGAACGUGAUNNUUAUGGAAAUUCUUUCGGGAAUGGAAAUGAAAUGAAAGUGGCGAANNGGUGAGUAACACGUGAGCAACCUACCUUACACAGGGGGAUAGCCGUUGGAAACGACGAUUAAUACCGCAUGAGACCACAGAAUCGCAUGAUAUAGGGGUCAAAGAUUUAUCGGUGUAAGAAGGGCUCGCGUCUGAUUAGCUAGUUGGAAGGGUAAAGGCCUACCAAGGCGACGAUCAGUAGCCGGUCUGAGAGGAUGAACGGCCACAUUGGAACUGAGACACGGUCCAAACUCCUACGGGAGGCAGCAGUGGGGAAUAUUGCACAAUGGGGGGAACCCUGAUGCAGCGACGCCGCGUGAGCGAAGAAGGUUUUCGAAUCGUAAAGCUCUGUCCUAUGAGAAGAUAAUGACGGUAUCAUAGGAGGAAGCCCCGGCUAAAUACGUGCCAGCAGCUGCGGUAAUACGUAUGGGGCGAGCGUUGUCCGGAAUUAUUGGGCGUAAAGGGUACGUAGGCGGUUUUUUAAGUCAGGUGUGAAAGCGUGAGGCUUAACCUCAUUAAGCACUUGAAACUGGAAGACUUGAGUGAAGGAGAGGAAAGUGGAAUUCCUAGUGUAGCGGUGAAAUGCGUAGAUAUUAGGAGGAAUACCGGUGGCGAAGGCGACUUUCUGGACUUUUACUGACGCUCAGGUACGAAAGCGUGGGGAGCAAACAGG